This 78-nucleotide non-coding RNA is filed under the name Strombidinopsis acuminata. The record is from RNAcentral. Lineage: Eukaryota; Ciliophora; Spirotrichea; Choreotrichida; Strombidinopsidae.
CAAGGGUGUGAUUCCUCGUGCAAUGGGGGGGGGUGCCGGCCGGGCGCGCCGCUGGAGGGCGCCGGGCCAUGGCUGCUG